GACGAACGCUGGCGGCGUGCCUAACACAUGCAAGUCACAGGAGAAAGGGGUAGCAAUAUCCCGAGUACACUGGCGAAAGGGUGCGUAUGACAUGAAGAACGUACCCCUCCGUUCGGAAUAACCCCGCGAAAGCGGGGCUAAUACCGGAUACGGCCGCGGCGAUGCCUGUCGCUGCGGUGAAAGUCGCAAGACGCGGAUGGAGCGCUUCAUGGCCUAUCAGCUAGUUGGCGGGGUAACGGCCCACCAAGGCGAUGACGGGUAGCCGGACUGAGAGGUCGACCGGCCACACGGGGACUGAGACACGGCCCCGACAUCUACGGAUGGCAGCAGUAGGGAAUAUUGCGCAAUGGGCGAAAGCCUGACGCAGCGACGCCGCGUGGGGGAUGAAGGCCUUCGGGUUGUAAACCCCUUUCCAUGUGGGACGAACUCUGACUUAACCACAGGAAGAAGCACCGGCUAACUCCGUGCCAGCAGCUGCGGUAAGACGGAGAGUGCAAACGUUGUUCGGU
This 509-nucleotide ribosomal RNA is filed under the name uncultured bacterium. Its description in RNAcentral is "bacterial SSU rRNA". It matches the Rfam family "Bacterial small subunit ribosomal RNA", at positions 28 to 549 of the family's 1533-position model. The record is from RNAcentral.